Zophobas morio is the source of this 488-nucleotide long non-coding RNA. RefSeq lists it as uncharacterized. The record is from RefSeq and is a predicted model, not a curated record. NCBI's taxonomy places the organism in Eukaryota, Metazoa, Arthropoda, Insecta, Coleoptera, Tenebrionidae. The transcript is spliced from 2 exons.
GACGCCUAUAAAAUCGGAACCAAAGUCCCAUUAUUACCAUUCGUGGUAGAUUACUCUUCACAGCUAGGUUAGACAUCUUUCGCCAUGAAAUCUGCCCUCCUGAUUUUAGUCGUCGCUGUCUCUGUGACCUACGGUUUGUAUCUAAACUCCUAUGAUGGAAAAAAUCGACAGAUCUACCACGAGCUGGCCAAACUUUUUGACCAAAUGAGCGCCAAAGUUAGGAGGUGUGUGAACGUUUUGGACGAAAAAUGCAUCAAUGGGGCCAUUGUGGGCGCUCCGAACGAUGAAGAUUGGUUGCAUAAUAAUUCCCCAGGGAAGAGAUGUGCAAAUGUUUAUGAUCAGGGUUGUAUAAAUGGUGGUGGCAUGGGUGGUGGACCCGACCAUGACUGGAUAACAGGAGGCGGAACACCUGGACGGCGCUAAAUUUAUUUUGGAAGCUUGUCAGUAUUGAUGUAUCACGUAAUAAAUGAGGUUUGAAGCUGAGUGUA